CCUAGGCUAAAGUCGGAUUUUUACUAGAAUAAAGUCCUUCAUUUUUGAUCGGCAAAAAACAACAGAAGCCAAUAAAAAAAAAGGGGGGGGGGGGGGGAAAAGUCAUUUUUGAGUUGUAAGUUGUAAAGAAAAACAUUGCGAUCAUACUGCACAAUGUAUAAUGAGGAUCAAUUUGUAUUUUUAAUCUGAAAGAAUGACACUUGUAACUAUUCUCAUGGCACAUGAUUUUUCUAUGCCACGUGUCCCUAAUCCUCCAAGGUGCACGUCCAACACUGCUGUUGAAUGAAUUUACCAAUGAAAUACCUCUUUCAGGUGUAAGCACUGAGGCCUAAACUACAAACUAUUAGAUUGUAUUUU
Syngnathus acus (greater pipefish) is the source of this 357-nucleotide long non-coding RNA. RefSeq lists it as uncharacterized. The transcript has 2 exons. The record is from RefSeq and is a predicted model, not a curated record. NCBI's taxonomy places the organism in Eukaryota, Metazoa, Chordata, Actinopteri, Syngnathiformes, Syngnathidae.